RNAcentral lists this ribosomal RNA (253 nucleotides) under uncultured bacterium. RNAcentral describes it as "partial 16S ribosomal RNA". It matches the Rfam family "Bacterial small subunit ribosomal RNA", at positions 524 to 776 of the family's 1533-position model. The record is from RNAcentral.
UACGUAGGGUGCGAGCGUUAAUCGGAAUUACUGGGCGUAAAGCGUGCGCAGGCGGUUCUCCAAGUCCGUUGUGAAAGCCCCGGGCUCAACCUGGGAAUGGCAGUGGAAACUAGGGGACUGGAAUCUGGCAGAGGGGGAUGGAAUUCCGCGUGUAGCAGUGAAAUGCGUAGAUAUGCGGAGGAACACCGAUGGCGAAGGCAAUCCCCUGGGCCUGCACUGACGCUCAUGCACGAAAGCGUGGGGAGCAAACAGG